UUGGAGGGCAAAUCUGGUGCCAGCAGCCGCGGUAAUUCCAGCUCCAAUAGCGUAUAUUAAAGUUGUUGCAGUUAAAAAGCUCGUAGUUGAAUUUCGGGAUCAGUACGCUGGUCGUGCCUUUGGUAUGCACUGGAGUCACUGAUUCCUCCCUCCUGAAGAACCGUAAUGCCAUUAAUUUGGUGUGGCGGGGAAUCAGGACUGUUACUUUGAAAAAAUUAGAGUGUUUAA
Molecule: ribosomal RNA, 228 nt
Filed under: uncultured Glomus
Lineage: Eukaryota; Fungi; Glomeromycota; Glomeromycetes; Glomerales; Glomeraceae
Description: partial small subunit ribosomal RNA
Rfam family: Eukaryotic small subunit ribosomal RNA
Source: RNAcentral